CCUAUUUGUACUACACCAACAAAGGAAAAGCAGCUCGGGAAUUACCGUAUAAAGCGAAGGAAAGCGGGUUUCCUGAAAGGCGCCUUCCUUUUCCCAUCUGCACACUUCCGCCACAUCACAGCACCGCCGCCGGGACAGCUUUGCUUUCCCACCUCCUCGCGCCGCCGGGAUCCGCGUAGAGCUCGUCCUCCCCGCCGCCGCCGGCAGGAGCUCCCUCGCUCGCUUGCUCGCCGGGAACCCCGUCUCCCGCCGGCCGCCGCACCCUUCUCCGCCGUCAGAGGAAAGCAGCAGGCAAAGCGGAACAGCGCGGGCCGAGGAAGGGGUAGGUGAGGAGGGGAGAUGGCCGGCGCGGGGAGGAAGGUGGCAGUCGCCGCCGUGCAGUUCGCCUGCACCGACACGGUGGCCGACAACGUCGCCGCCGCCNNNAGGUUGAUUAGAGAAGCUCAUAAGAAAGGCGCGAACAUUGUCCUCAUUCAGGAGCUAUUUGAGGGGCACUAUUUCUGUCAGGCUCAAAGGAUGGAUUUCUUUGGGCGUGCCAAGCCUUAUAAAGAGAACCCGACUAUAAUGAGAAUGCAAAAGCUUGCAAAGGAGUUGGAUGUUGUAAUACCUGUAAGUUUCUUUGAAGAAGCGGGCAAUGCUCAUUACAAUUCCGUGGCCAUUAUUGAUGCUGAUGGCACCGAUCUUGGCCUAUACCGCAAAUCACACAUUCCAGAUGGACCAGGUUAUCAAGAGAAAUUUUAUUUCAACCCGGGUGACACUGGAUUCAAGGCUUUCAAAACCAAGUAUGCAACAAUUGGUGUUGGAAUUUGUUGGGACCAGUGGUUUCCAGAGACCGCAAGGGCUAUGGUGCUACAGGGGGCGGAGAUAUUGUUCUAUCCCACUGCUAUUGGUUCUGAACCCCAGGAUAUGAACCUGGAUUCCCGCGAACACUGGAAGCGUGUCAUGCAAGGCCAUGCCGGUGCUAACUUGGUUCCUCUUGUUGCUUCUAACCGGAUAGGAAAGGAAACUGUCGAGACUGAGCAUGGGAACAGCACCAUAAAAUUCUACGGGAACUCAUUCAUCGCAGGGCCAACUGGAGAAAUCGUGAAGCUUGCAAAUGACAAAGACGAGGAGGUGCUCGUGGCAGAGUUUGACUUGGACGAGAUCAAAUCUACGAGACACGGCUGGGGGAUAUUCAGGGACAGGCGUCCUGAUCUAUACAAAGUGCUACUGACGUUGGAUGGCAAGACAUCAUCAUCAUCCUAGGUUCCACUUUUAUGAAGACGACAUGAACUCCAGAAUGCUAUACUGGGAAAACACAGGGUCCGUAAGUCUAGCUUCCCCCUGCAAAAGAAAUGGUUUGCCUCUUUGCAACGUAUCCCCGUGUUUGCGACUCGGUGAUUUUCCACCAAUAGAGCAUUAAUAAAAUACUGUCAUGUAAGAGAAUAUUUGCUCCUACAAGUAUGAAGAUGAGGGAUCAAAGCAAUAUAAUAAUGAUGCAUCGCAUUUGUUGAAACAUUUAGGUGGUACCCCUACAGUUACUGAUUUUAGUUACUGAAAAUCAAUAGGUGGAUCAUAAUUGGCAGAAUCAGCAUCUUUGACCUCCAAGAUAUAUAUACCAUUUGCUUUGGCUGUAAUGUAGACCUAUCAACCAACUGUCACAUGUGCUGUAUUACUUUUUCAUCAAACCAAGUGCAGGCAGGGUUCUUGUGAGCCUAGCUAGAGUGCUUUGCAGCCUGUAUACACGCUCAUCCUUAGCUGGGGAGCAUCGUUGCAACUAUGUCGAGGACAAACGCGCC
This 1778-nucleotide ribosomal RNA is filed under the name Triticum aestivum (bread wheat). RNAcentral describes it as "partial small subunit ribosomal RNA". Lineage: Eukaryota; Viridiplantae; Streptophyta; Magnoliopsida; Poales; Poaceae. The record is from RNAcentral.